AAAAGGAUAGAUCGAGGUAGAGAGAAUUCACCUACAACCAAUCUACUAUUUCUUGGGUAAUAUACCUGCAACCGAUUGACAAGAUCUGAGUCGUCAUUCAAGAUCCAUUCUUGAAUUCAAAAACAUAUAUGAGGAAACUAAAACGCGGUGUAAUAAAACCUGGGUUUUGUUCAUGUUCAUCCGCUGCUCUUAGUGGUGGUGGUGGCGGUGUGAGAGGGCGAUGAACGUAGGACUCCGGUUCGGAGCCAACAAAGGAGAAAAGUAGAGUUUUUGAAGGAGAAAGAUAGAGAAAGAGAAACAGAUCAGACCCAAAAAAAAGUUAAAAAAGAAGGCGGAGGACGUAUAAGGAUAAUAUGAGUUUUUUUGGAAGGUAAGCAUAUUAGGGUUCAAUGGUUUAAUGUCACUCAAAUUCGUUAGAAAUAGAUGUAUAAGAGCAUCCCCAACAGCUUCCUCAUUUUCUUAAAUUUCUCAAUUUUAGGGAAUAUAGAGCUCUUUUUAGGUCCAACAGCUUCCCCAUCCCAUUCUCCAAAAUGGGGAUGAAGAAGAAAAAGAAACAUUCAUUCCCCAAAUUUGCAGCAAAACCUUCCUUCCCCAAAAUUAAAUUCUUCACGUACUCCAACGAAUUUAAAACAACAAUAAAAUAUUUGAUUGGGUAGUUUAUUGUUACAAUGAAAUAUAUAAUGUUUUUUUGUUAUAAUUCAUGAUGAUAUAUUAUAUUUUAUUGUUGUAUUAAAUGCCGAAAUCUCUAAAAUGGAGAAGCUGCUGGAUUUUAAUCAUAAUUUUUUUAGAGAAUUUAGCUUUUACUUCCCCAUUUUAGAGAAAUUUUGGAGAAGCUGUUGGAUAUGCUCUAACUCUAACAGAUAUCUGUGUAAAUGUGCCUGGGUUCUAUUCUUACGAAAAGUUGUGUCUAAUUUUGUAUUUCACGUAUCCGUGUCAAUAUUUCACAUGGUUAAGAAUAUAUUAUCACAUUUGACACGGAUAUAAGUAACAAUAGUUUAUUGUUACGGAAUAGUGUAAUUAU
This 1021-nucleotide long non-coding RNA is filed under the name Fragaria vesca (wild strawberry). RNAcentral's name for it is "long non-coding RNA (FVES_LNC000635)". The record is from RNAcentral. Lineage: Eukaryota; Viridiplantae; Streptophyta; Magnoliopsida; Rosales; Rosaceae.